Molecule: small RNA, 1616 nt
Filed under: Rattus norvegicus (Norway rat)
Lineage: Eukaryota; Metazoa; Chordata; Mammalia; Rodentia; Muridae
Description: uncharacterized LOC103692974
Source: RNAcentral
ACUCUGUCUCAAAAAAAAAAAAAAAAAAAAAUGGUGGCCAUCUUGGUAGCAUCUAAGUGACCUUGGGGGAAGUGGCCAUCUUGGUAGCAUCUAAAUGACCUUGGGGAAAUGGCUUGGGCUCAGUUUUCUCACCUGUAAAUGUCAACACAGAGUCUUUACAAAGACUGUAUAAGAAGAAUUGUGGCAUGACUCUCUGGUAGCUUUGUCUAAGCAGCAACACACAGGGGCAGUAUGAAACCAAGCCCCACCUAUACUCAGGGAAUGUUCUCAGUCUCUUCUGUAAAAACCGUCACUGUUCUCUGAAGAAAGGUACCUCCAUAACUAAAAGCGGAGCGCCACGUAUCGCGCCUAGUCUGUCCGUAAGUGCUUGAGGGAUGCCAGCCUUGACUGUGAUGUUUUCCUCAUUCCCAGGGAUGCGCUCCUCUAACCAGUCAUGCCUUCCUUCCAACCAGUUGCCACUAGCUCCUCCCCCAUACUAGGUUCAGAGGAAUCAGGAGCUGAAACUGACAAGUUCCACCCUCUAAGACGCUCUUGUCACCCAUCCUGGAAGCAGGGCAUACCCGGUGCCAUACCAUGUGCACUUCAGAAUCAGAGCAGGGGCAGCCUCUGCAGAGGCUGGAAGAUCUUGGUGGUGGAGAACUUGCCGAGGGGGUAUCUGGCCCUGACCACUGUUAUCUGUGUGUCAUUAUCUCCUCCCACAAAGCCUUCUCCACCCAUAACCCCCAACCGAGAUGACAGACCAGCAACUGUCUCCAACCGCUCUGAUUCGGGACAAGGCUCGACCCUGUCCCCACUGCCACAGACUCCAUGGCCACCCCGCCCUCUGCCACAUUUAUUGAGAACAGGUUGGCUGUCUCUCUGGGAAUGAAGAAGCUAUCAAGGAAGGAGACACCCCAAUAUCUAGGAGACCAGGGGCCGGGAUGGCCGGGCUCUCUGACAGAAGUUGUCUGUUCUCUUUUCAGCCUUCCUGCUGCUGCUUCUACAGUGUCUCCUUUCUCAGGCUGCUCUCCCCCAACCUGGAGCCCUGAAGCUGCACACCUGGCUCCCACAUCAGAUAACCCAACCACAGUAGUUCCCCUCACCCGACCUGCUCCCACCCUCUCCUCACCCCUCACCCUCUUCCUCCCCUGCUCUUCUACCCUCUAGCUUCUGUUGAGCCUAGAUAGCCCUAGAGAGGGUCAAGGAGAUUCAAAGCCCUCUGGUGGAAAAGGUGGUGUGAGAGUCAACCCCGAUCAGUGUGUGCACGUGGUACAGGCGGAUGGAAACGUACACUGUGUCACUUGGAAACAGUGAUGGGGAAGGGACCCCAGCCCAGGCCUUAAGGACCUAGAGCAACCUAGGACCCAGCAGGGAGUCUGGGAGAGUACUGGGCCAAUCCCCCUUGCUGUGGGCUUUCUGCAAUCAAGAGAGUGAAGCUCGCAUCCUUGGUGCUAGGAUAGGAGGACUGAGCUGAAGAGGCAGACAUUCUGAAUGAAGGAACCCAUAAUCUCUUGUAGCCAAAUGCAGGCUUUGAAAGGGUCUCUCCAUGUAGCCAAAGCCGGCCUUGAACUUGGAACUGUUCUGACUACGGCUCCUGAGGGCUGACGUCACAGAUGUGCACCAACCAUGUCCAGCUC